GACGAGUCGAGUUGUUUGGGAAUGCAGCUCAAAAUGGGUGGUAAAUUUCCAUCUAAAGCUAAAUACAGGCGAAGAGACCGAUAGCGAACAAGUACCGUGAGGGAAAGAUGAAAAGAACUUUGGAAAGAGAGUUAAACAGUACGUGAAAUUGCUGAAAGGGAAACGCUUGAUGUCAGUCGCGUCGGCCAGGGAUCAACCUUGCUUCUCGCUGGGUGUACUUCCUGGUGGACGGGUCAGCAUCAGUUUCGGUCGCCGUACAAGGGCUUAAGGAAUGUGGCACUCUUCGGAGUGUGUUAUAGCCUUUCGUCGGAUGCGGUGGUGGGGACUGAGGAACUCAGCACGGCUUCAGGUUUGUGCUUAGGAUGCUGGCAUAAUGGCCUUAAGCGACCCGUCUUGAAACACGGACCAAGGAGUCUAACAUGCCUGCGAGUGUUUGGGUGGCAAACUCGGGCGCGCAAUGAAAGUGAACGUUGAGACCUCUGUCGUGGAGGGCAUCGACGCCCGGACCUGAGUCUUUGACGAAGGAUCUGCGGUAGAGCAUGCAUGUUGGGACCCGAAAGAUGGUGAACUAUGCCUGAAUAGGGUGAAGCCAGAGGAAACUCUGGUGGAGGCUCGUAACGAUUCUGACGUGCAAAUCGAUCGUCGAAUUUGGGUAUAGGGGCGAAAAG
Molecule: ribosomal RNA, 668 nt
Filed under: uncultured fungus
Lineage: Eukaryota; Fungi
Description: eukaryotic LSU rRNA
Rfam family: Eukaryotic large subunit ribosomal RNA
Source: RNAcentral